RNAcentral lists this ribosomal RNA (439 nucleotides) under uncultured bacterium. RNAcentral describes it as "partial 16S ribosomal RNA". It matches the Rfam family "Bacterial small subunit ribosomal RNA", at positions 338 to 795 of the family's 1533-position model. The record is from RNAcentral.
CCUACGGGUGGCAGCAGUGGGGAAUAUUGCACAAUGGGGGAAACCCUGAUGCAGCGACGCCGCGUGAGUGAAGAAGUAAUUCGUUAUGUAAAGCUCUAUCAGCAGGGAAGAAAAUGACGGUACCUGAGUAAGUAGCCCCGGCUAACUACGUGCCAGCAGCCGCGGAACUACGUAGGGGGCAAGGGUUAUCCGGCUUUUCGGGUGUAAAGGGGGGGUUGAGGGGAGGGCAAGGUUGGAGGGAAAGGCAGAGGCUCAACCCCCGGACUGCUCUGGAAACGGUACGGCUGGAGUGCAGUAGAGGUAAGUGGAAUUCCUAGUGUAGCGGUGAAAUGCGUAGAGAUUAGGAGGAACACCAGUGGCGAAGGCGGCUUACUGGACUGUAACUGACGUUGAGGCUCGAAAGCGUGGGGAGCAAACAGGAUUAGAUACCCGUGUAGUC